GGGGGUGUAGCUCAGUUGGGAGAGCGCUGCCUUUGCAAGGCAGAUGUCGUCGGUUCAAGUCCGUCCACCUCCAC
Molecule: transfer RNA, 74 nt
Filed under: Rubripirellula obstinata
Lineage: Bacteria; Pseudomonadati; Planctomycetota; Planctomycetia; Pirellulales; Pirellulaceae
Description: tRNA-Ala
Rfam family: tRNA
About the family: Transfer RNA (tRNA) molecules are approximately 80 nucleotides in length. Their secondary structure includes four short double-helical elements and three loops (D, anti-codon, and T loops).
Source: RNAcentral